UGCAAGUCGAACGGGAUCUUCGGAUCUAGUGGCAGACGGGUGAGUAACGCGUGGGAACCUGCCCAGUAGUAGAGAAUAACUUGAGGAAACUUAAGCUAAUACUUUAUACACCCUCCGGGGAAAAGCUUUAUGCGCUAUUGGAUGGGCCCGCGUUAGAUUAGUUUGUUGGUGAGGUAACGGCUCACCAAGACUACGAUCUAUAGCUGGUCUGAGAGGAUGAUCAGCCACACUGGGACUGAGACACGGCCCAGACUCCUACGGGAGGCAGCAGUGGGGAAUAUUGGACAAUGGGGGCAACCCUGAUCCAGCGAUGCCGCGUGAGUGAUGAAGGCCUUAGGGUUGUAAAACUCUUUCGUCAGGGAAGAUAAUGACGGUACCUGAAGAAGAAGAUCCGGCUAACUCCGUGCCAGCAGCCGCGGUAAUACGGAGGGAUCUAGCGUUAUUCGGAAUUACUGGGCGUAAAGCGAGCGUAGGCGGAUUUGUAAGUUGGAGGUGAAAUCCCAGAGCUUAACUCUGGAACUGCCUUCAAAACUACAUUUCUUGAGUUUGGUAGAGGAGAGUGGAAUUCCUAGUGUAGAGGUGAAAUUCGUAGAUAUUAGGAGGAACACCAGUGGCGAAGGCGACUCUCUGGGCCAAUACUGACGCUGAGGUUCGAAAGCAUGGGUAGCGAACAGGAUUAGAUACCCUGGUAGUCCAUGCAGUAAACGAUGAGUGCUAGAUGUUGGGAAUUUAAAUUUCCAGUAUCGCAGUUAACGCGUUAAGCACUCCGCCUGGGAAGUACGGCCGCAAGGCUAAAACUCAAAUGAAUUGACGGGGACCCGCACAAGCGGUGGAUCAUGUGGUUUAAUUCGAAGAUACGCGUAGAACCUUACCGGCUCUUGACAUACCAAUCGCGGACUUAGGAGAUUAAGUCUUUCACUUCGGGUGGAUUGGAUACAGGUGCUGCAUGGCUGUCGUCA
Molecule: ribosomal RNA, 959 nt
Filed under: uncultured marine bacterium
Lineage: Bacteria
Description: bacterial SSU rRNA
Rfam family: Bacterial small subunit ribosomal RNA
Source: RNAcentral